CCUACGGGAGGCAGCAGUGGGGAAUCUUGCGCAAUGGGCGAAAGCCUGACGCAGCAACGCCGCGUGCGGGAAGAAGGCUUUCGGGCUGUAAACCGCUUUCAGCAGGAACGAAAAUGACGGUACCUGCAGAAGAAGGAGCGGCCAACUAUGUGCCAGCAGCCGCGGCGAUACAUAGGCUUCAAGCGUUGUCCGGAUUUAUUGGGCGUAAAGAGUUCGUAGGCGGUCGAGUAAGUCGGGUGUGAAAAUUCUGGGCUCAACCCAGAGACGCCACCCGAUACUGCUUAACUUGAGUUCGAUAGGGGAGUGGGGAAUUCCUAGUGUAGCGGUGAAAUGCGCAGAUAUUAGGAGGAACACCGGUGGCGAAGGCGCCACUCUGGAUCGAUACUGACGCUGAGGAACGAAAGCAUGGGUAGCAAACAGGAUUAGAUACCCUGGUAGUCCAUGCCGUAAACGGUGGGCACUAGGUGUGGGAUUCUAUUAACGAAUUCCGCGCCGUCGCUAACGCAUUAAGUGCCCCGCCUGGGGAGUACGGUCGCAAGACAAAACUCAAAGGAAUUGACGGCUUGAAGACGUUGCGAGCGACACGAGGGAGAG
This 594-nucleotide ribosomal RNA is filed under the name uncultured bacterium. Its description in RNAcentral is "bacterial SSU rRNA". It matches the Rfam family "Bacterial small subunit ribosomal RNA", at positions 338 to 949 of the family's 1533-position model. The record is from RNAcentral.